Molecule: ribosomal RNA, 528 nt
Filed under: Triticum aestivum (bread wheat)
Lineage: Eukaryota; Viridiplantae; Streptophyta; Magnoliopsida; Poales; Poaceae
Description: partial small subunit ribosomal RNA
Source: RNAcentral
AUGUGGCGAAAAAGACUAAUUCAACGAAAUAUGCCAGCAUUAAGAUUUAAAACGUGUCGUCUACUUCCAGGAAAUGUUCGAAACAGAGAACUUUCUCUAAUCCAACGCCGUAUUCUCCAAAGAUUGAGGAACAAGAGGAGAUCCAUUAAAAGAAAUCUUUCUCGGAGAGAAAAUCUAAACAGUAACAUCAAAUCCCAAACUACACGAAAGUUGUCUCUUUAUUAUGGGUAUUUACCCAUAAGGGAGAUGCACAGAGGAAGAGAAUGAACUUCAUAUAUCCCUUUUUUACUCAAUCAAGAAACAAGGUCGUACGUGAUUCCGGUUCGUCUCCAUUUUAGUGACACUCUUCCUCAAGCAAGGCAGCCGAUAAGUCAUUGAAGGGUUUGUUUGAAUAAUGGACUGGUAACCAUUACUCAUUUGAAAGUUUCCCACGGUUAUCUAAUAUCUUUAAAGAAAAUGACGUGAGAACCCGCAGUUUUGAAAGAAGGAGACCUUUCUGUAUCAACAUAUCAGUUGGAAAUAUCAUAG